Molecule: ribosomal RNA, 468 nt
Filed under: uncultured bacterium
Lineage: Bacteria
Description: partial 16S ribosomal RNA
Rfam family: Bacterial small subunit ribosomal RNA
Source: RNAcentral
GACGAACGCUGGCGGCGUGCUUAACACAUGCAAGUCGAACGGAAAGGCCCUGCUUUUGUGGGGUGCUCGAGUGGCGAACGGGUGAGUAACACGUGAGUAACCUGCCCUUGACUUUGGGAUAACUUCAGGAAACUGGGGCUAAUACCGGAUAGGAUCUCCUGCUGCAUGGUGGGGGUUGGAAAGUUUCGGCGGUUGGGGAUGGACUCGCGGCUUAUCAGCUUGUUGGUGGGGUAGUGGCUUACCAAGGCUUUGACGGGUAGCCGGCCUGAGAGGGUGACCGGCCACAUUGGGACUGUGAUACGGACCAGACUCCUACGGGAGGCAGCAGUGGGGAAUAUUGCACAAUGGGCGGAAGCCUGAUGCAGCAACGCCGCGUGCGGGAUGACGGCCUUCGGGUUGUAAACCGCUUUCGCCUGUGACGAAGCGUGAGUGACGGUAAUGGAUAAAGAAGCACCGGCUAACUACGUG